Molecule: ribosomal RNA, 383 nt
Filed under: uncultured bacterium
Lineage: Bacteria
Description: bacterial SSU rRNA
Rfam family: Bacterial small subunit ribosomal RNA
Source: RNAcentral
CCUGAACGCUGGCGGCGUGGCUAAGACAUGCAAGUCGCACGGGCCUCGCAAGAGGUCAGUGGCGAACGGGUGAGUAAAGAAUCGCUAACGUACCCCGGACUCUGGGAUAGCUACCCGAAAGGGUGGGUAAUACCAGAUGAUAUAACUUUCCUGCAUGGGAGAGUUCUCAAAGCCGCCGGCAACGGUGGAACGGUCUGGGAGCGGGCGAUUUCGUAUCAGCUAGUUGGUGAGGAACGGCUCACCAAGGCGACGACGCGUAGCCGGACUGAGAGGUUGGCCGGCCACAUUGGGACUGAGACACUGCCCAGACUCCUACGGGGGCUGCAGUAACGAAUCUUCCGCAAUGCACGCAAGUGUGACGGAGCGACGCCGCGUGUGGGACG